AGAGUUUGAUCCUGGCUCAGGCCGAACGCUGGCGGCGUGCCUAAUACAUGCAAGUUGAGCGAUGAAGAUUGGUGCUUGCACCAAUUUGAAGAGCAGCGAACGGGUGAGUAACGCGUGGGGAAUCUGCCUUUGAGCGGGGGACAACAUUUGGAAACGAAUGCUAAUACCGCAUAACAACUUUAAACAUAAGUUUUAAGUUUGAAAGAUGCAAUUGCAUCACUCAAAGAUGAUCCCGCGUUGUAUUAGCUAGUUGGUGAGGUAAAGGCUCACCAAGGCGAUGAUACAUAGCCGACCUGAGAGGGUGAUCGGCCACAUUGGGACUGAGACACGGCCCAAACUCCUACGGGAGGCAGCAGUAGGGAAUCUUCGGCAAUGGACGAAAGUCUGACCGAGCAACGCCGCGUGAGUGAAGAAGGUUUUCGGAUCGUAAAACUCUGUUGGUAGAGAAGAACGUUGGUGAGAGUGGAAAGCUCAUCAAGUGACGGUAACUACCCAGAAAGGGACGGCUAACUACGUGCCAGCAGCCGCGGUAAUACGUAGGUCCCGAGCGUUGUCCGGAUUUAUUGGGCGUAAAGCGAGCGCAGGUGGUUUAUUAAGUCUGGUGUAAAAGGCAGUGGCUCAACCAUUGUAUGCAUUGGAAACUGGUAGACUUGAGUGCAGGAGAGGA
This 667-nucleotide ribosomal RNA is filed under the name uncultured bacterium. Its description in RNAcentral is "bacterial SSU rRNA". It matches the Rfam family "Bacterial small subunit ribosomal RNA", at positions 8 to 658 of the family's 1533-position model. The record is from RNAcentral.